UUCCAUGAAUCCGUGGGACCUGCUGCUUGUAGCUGACUCCCUUCCUAGCCAUGGAAUAGAACACCUCACUCUUC
This is a small nucleolar RNA of Xenopus tropicalis (tropical clawed frog), 74 nucleotides long. Lineage: Eukaryota; Metazoa; Chordata; Amphibia; Anura; Pipidae. The record is from Ensembl.